AACGAACGCUGGCGGCAGGCUUAACACAUGCAAGUCGAACGCCCCGCACGGGGAGUGGCGGACGGGUGUGUAACGCGUGGGAACAUACCCCUUUCUACGGAAUAGCUCUGGGAAACUGGAAUUAAUACCGCAUACGCCCUACGGGGGAAAGAUUUAUCGGGGAAGGAUUGGCCCGCGUUGGAUUAGCUAGUUGGUGGGGUAAAGGCCUACCAAGGCGACGAUCCAUAGCUGGUCUGAGAGGAUGAUCAGCCACAUUGGGACUGAGACACGGCCCAGACUCCUACGGGAGGCAGCAGUGGGGAAUAUUGGACAAUGGGCGCAAGCCUGAUCCAGCCAUGCCGCGUGAGUGAUGAAGGCCUUAGGGUUGUAAAGCUCUUUCACCGAUGAAGAUAAUGACGGUAGUCGGAGAAGAAGCCCCGGCUAACUUCGUG
RNAcentral lists this ribosomal RNA (431 nucleotides) under uncultured bacterium. Its description in RNAcentral is "partial 16S ribosomal RNA". It matches the Rfam family "Bacterial small subunit ribosomal RNA", at positions 29 to 507 of the family's 1533-position model. The record is from RNAcentral.